This 160-nucleotide non-coding RNA is filed under the name Camelus ferus (Wild Bactrian camel). Lineage: Eukaryota; Metazoa; Chordata; Mammalia; Artiodactyla; Camelidae. The record is from RNAcentral.
GUCUUGUAUGAAAGGAGAGAAGGUUAGCAAGGUCAAGGUCCCCUUGACAAGAAUGGAAGAGGGCCUUGGGCCUGACAACACACACACACACACACACACACACACACACAGACGGUUAAGGCAUUGCCACCUGCUUUGUGGCUUCUAACCAUCGUUUUUU